GCUUGAGAAAAGAAUUUCAGUUCAGCCUAAAGUUACUUUUUACAUCUAAAACCACAAAUUCUCUUUAGAGUAAUUCAAUUAAGGAACAGCCUUAUUGAACCAGGACACAACCUUAAUUUACGGGUAAUUUUAUUAAAAUAUUUAAGUAGGCUUAAAAGCAGCCACCUUUCUUAAAGCGUUAAAGCUAAAUCUAUGUUCCCCCUAAUACCUCACCUCCACCCGAUCCCUAUGAUAGUAUCAAGCAUCUCUAUAAUAUAUAGAACUCUUUAUGUUAAAACUAGUACCAAGAAGCAGACCCUUCUCUAUAAUGCAUGUAUAAGCCAGCUUGAACUUUUCACUGGCACUUAACAGCCCAAGCUUAAGUAAAACCUUCCCCCACGAAAACUCUACUUUUCCCCCCGUUAACCUAACACCAGAGCAUUACAAGAAAGAUUAAAAGAAAAAGAAGGAACUCGGCAAAUAUUUUUCCCGCCUGUUUACCAAAAACAUCGCCUCUUGAAAAAAUCUAUAAGAGGUCCAGCCUGCCCAGUGACUCAGUUUAACGGCCGCGGUAUUCUAACCGUGCAAAGGUAGCGUAAUAACUUGUCUUCUAAAUAAGGACUAGUAUGAAAGGCAUCACGAGGAACAAUCUGUCUCCUUUUUCUAAUCAGCGAAACUAAUCUCCCCGUGAAGAAGCGGGGAUGUAUUUAUAAGACGAGAAGACCCUAUGGAGCUUUAGACAUACCAAUUUUUGUUCCUACACUCAAACUUCAGAGUUAAACCUCUAACAUAAAAUUGGAAGUCUUUGGUUGGGGCGACCGCGGAGAAAAACCCAUCCUCCGCGAUGAAAAGAAUUAUUCCUUAACUACAAGCCACAGCUUCACGUAUCAAUAAAUUGUCACUAUUGACCCAGUAUUCUGAUCAACGAACCAAGUUACCCUAGGGAUAACAGCGCAAUCCACUUUGAGAGCUCAUAUCGACAAGUGGGCUUACGACCUCGAUGUUGGAUCAGGGUAUCCUAGUGGUGCAGCCGCUACUAAGGUUCGUUUGUUCAACGAUUAAAACCCU
RNAcentral lists this ribosomal RNA (1047 nucleotides) under Yunganastes fraudator (Cochamba robber frog). RNAcentral's name for it is "partial 16S ribosomal RNA". It matches the Rfam family "Bacterial large subunit ribosomal RNA", at positions 1319 to 2597 of the family's 2925-position model. Lineage: Eukaryota; Metazoa; Chordata; Amphibia; Anura; Strabomantidae. The record is from RNAcentral.